Molecule: ribosomal RNA, 416 nt
Filed under: uncultured Arcobacter sp.
Lineage: Bacteria; Pseudomonadati; Campylobacterota; Epsilonproteobacteria; Campylobacterales; Arcobacteraceae
Description: bacterial SSU rRNA
Rfam family: Bacterial small subunit ribosomal RNA
Source: RNAcentral
CAGCAGUGGGGAAUAUUGCACAAUGGACGAAAGUCUGAUGCAGCAACGCCGCGUGGAGGAUGACACAUUUCGGUGCGUAAACUCCUUUUAUAUGAGAAGAUAAUGACGGUAUUAUAUGAAUAAGCACCGGCUAACUCCGUGCCAGCAGCCGCGGUAAUACGGGGGGUGCAAGCGUUACUCGGAAUCACUGGGCGUAAAGAGCAUGUAGGCGGAUUAAUAAGUUUGAAGUGAAAUCCUAUAGCUUAACUAUAGAACUGCUUUGAAAACUGUUAAUCUAGAAUGUGGGAGAGGUAGAUGGAAUUUCUGGUGUAGGGGUAAAAUCCGUAGAGAUCAGAAGGAAUACCGAUUGCGAAGGCGAUCUACUGGAACAUUAUUGACGCUGAGAUGCGAAAGCGUGGGGAGCAAACAGGAUUAGA